CCCUGGGUGAAAAUCUCAAAAUUCCCACUUUCUGCAAGUCCCUUGAAUGCACCACACACACACCUCACAGGUCACAUGUUUCCCAUGACCAAUCCAAGGUAUUGGAGGGAAAGUUACCUGCGACCUCACUUCCUCUCCAGUCAGUUGUGUGGGGAGAGGAGCUGAGGGAGCAGCAGUGCACAGAUCUCUGCCUGCCUGGAGCUUUGGAUUGGGGGACUUUGUCAGGACAUGUGCCUGUGUGAAGGGAAUUGGCCAGGUGUCCUACUCUGAAUUGAGUAGUGGAUGGCGAGCCAGUGGUUCAGCGGCCAGGAGCCUGAAGAGACCCCCUCAGUUCCCAAAUAAAUUGUCGGGUAGGAGGCUGGUGCAGCCUGCUCUCUUGCCCCCACCUACUCACUCCUCCAUUACACCACUUUCCCCAAUAUUCACAUUCACUCUGGACAUUUGCGCUUUCGCCAAACCCCACCACUGCAAUAAUUCAUAUAUGGACAAUUGGUGGUGAAAAAUGGACCCCGAGUGAGAAGAAACCCGAUACCUGCUGGACUCUGAAUUUAUUUUCUUUAUUUUGAGUUACUUAGUUUGUUUGCUCGUUCACUGUAAAUAUUUUGGGUUGUUUGUUUAAUAGUUCUGUUUUGUUGUCACAUUUAAUAUAUUAUGCUUGCACUUAAACUUACCUGGUGUUGUGUUUUACUGUCCUCCGCCCUCCAGUAGUCGAACCCAGAAUCUUUUGACUAGCCCGCUUAAUAUACUCACCUCAGUGGUGAUAAAUUAUCAUAACGUAACCGAAAUAUCUGUUACAUUUUUGGCGAGCCAGCCAGGAGGGUGAAAGGUACAGUAAUCUGUUCAACUGUUUAUUCCUACUCACCAAUUCUUGUGUCACAACAUGGAAACAUUUGAAUCCCUUGGUGUAAAAAUCCCAAAUGCAAUUUUGGUUGAUGGCAUCACAGAGUCUGAUUCAUGUGACAGUAUUCUUACAUUCCUUGAGUCAUAUGGUGCGAUAAAACAACACCUCAUAAUAAAUGAUCGAGAUUCAGAUUAUUUUGGCCGACUAGUAGUUGAAUAUGAGUCCGGUUCAGCUUUUGCGAGUUUUCCAUCCUUACCAUAUACUUACAAACCGGGUAAAGGCAAUAAAUUCUUUAUUGAGAGUCUGUCUGACAUUUAUGCUUCAGAGGGUUGUGCCACAAAAACUGAAACCUUUAUGAGGGAUGCGAAGAAUAUGGCUAAACUGUCUGGGAAGGAAUAUGGAGAAAUUCUCCAGGAAAUGUUAUCGCAGAUUCAGAAGUCAAUCGCUGAUCUCGACCGUCCUGCUGCAGAUGUCGAUGCUGGUGGUGCAGAACAGUCAACCCCCUCGGUAUCAGUAAACCCCUCACAAUCUACUGCGGUGCAUGCUACCUCUGCUUCCAGGCCCAGCUUUGUUCCUCAUGCUGAGAGUACCCAGAGGGAAGAAAGGCGAUCUACAACA
This is a long non-coding RNA of Salarias fasciatus (jewelled blenny), 1459 nucleotides long. RefSeq lists it as uncharacterized. The record is from RefSeq and is a predicted model, not a curated record. The transcript has 3 exons. Lineage: Eukaryota; Metazoa; Chordata; Actinopteri; Blenniiformes; Blenniidae.